This 25-nucleotide non-coding RNA is filed under the name Cricetulus griseus (Chinese hamster). The record is from RNAcentral. Lineage: Eukaryota; Metazoa; Chordata; Mammalia; Rodentia; Cricetidae.
GUGGCAUGGGGUACGGACAAAGUUC